Molecule: ribosomal RNA, 492 nt
Filed under: uncultured bacterium
Lineage: Bacteria
Description: partial 16S ribosomal RNA
Rfam family: Bacterial small subunit ribosomal RNA
Source: RNAcentral
AGUGAACGCUGGCGGUAGGCCUAACACAUGCAAGUCGAACGGCAGCACAGUAAGAGCUUGCUCUUACGGGUGGCGAGUGGCGGACGGGUGAGGAGUACAUCGGAAUCUACUUUUUCGUGGGGGAUAACGUAGGGAAACUUACGCUAAUACCGCAUACGACCUACGGGUGAAAGCAGGGGAUCUUCGGACCUUGCGCGAUUGAAUGAGCCGAUGUCGGAUUGGCUAGUUGGCGGGGUAAAGGCCCACCAAGGCGACGAUCCGUAGCUGGUCUGAGAGGAUGAUCAGCCACACUGGAACUGAGACACGGUCCAGACUCCUACGGGAGGCAGCAGUGGGGAAUAUUGGACAAUGGGCGCAAGCCUGAUCCAGCCAUACCGCGUGGGUGAAGAAGGCCUUCGGGUUGUAAAGCCCUUUUGUUGGGAAAGAAAAGCAGCAGGUUAAUACCCCGCUGUUCUGGCGGUACCCAAAGAAUAAGCACCGGCUAACUUCGUG